AGGUGUAGCCAGGUGGCCCCGCAGUAACUGGUUGUUUUGUUGUGUAUCCAGGGGAAGGUGACGGUGAUGCAGGUGUUGCGUCACUGGUGGGUGAGUCUGUUGCUUCAGUGAGAGGCGUUAAGGUGUAGCCAGGUGGCACCACAGUUACUGGUUGUUUUGUUGUGUAUCCAGGGGAAGGUGACGGUGAUGCUGGUGUUGCGUCACUGGUGGGUGAGUCUGUUGCUUCAGUGAGAGGCGUUAAGGUGUAGCCAGGUGGCACUGCAGUAACUGGUUGUUUUGUUGUGUAUCCAGGGGAAGGUGACGGUGUGGUCAGUGUUGCGUCACUGGUGGGUGAGUCUGUUGCUUCAGUGAGAGGCGUUAAGGUGUAGCCAGGUGGCACUGCAGUAACUGGUUGUUUUGUUGUGUAUCCAGGGGAAGGUGACGGUGAUGCUGGUGUUGCGUCACUGGUGGGUGAGUCCGUUGCUUCAGUGAGAGGCGUUAAUGUGUAGCCAGGUGGCACUGCAGUAAGUGGUUGCUUUGUUGUGUAUCCAGGGGAAGGUGACGGUGAUGCUGGUGUUGCAUCACUGGUAGGUUGGUCUGCCGUUUCAGUGAGAGGCGUUAAGGUGUAGCCAGAUGGCACUGCAGUUACUGGAUGUUUUGUUGUGUAUCCAGGGGAAGGUGACGGUGAUGUCGGCUCUGUAUCCCUUGUGGAUGGGUCUGUUGUUUCAGGGAGUGCCGUUAAUGUGUAGCCAGGUGGCACCAUAGUUGCUGGCUGUUUUGUUGUGUAUCCAGGGGAAGGUGACAGUGAUACUGGUGUUGCGUCACUGGUGGGUGAGUCUGUUGCUUCAGUGAGAGGCGUUAAGGUGUAGCCAGGUGGCACCACAGUUACUGGUUGUUUUGUUGUGUAUCCAGGGGAAGGUGACGGUGAUGCUGGUGUUGCGUCACUGGUGGGUGAGUCUGUUGCUUCAGUGAGAGGCGUUAAGGUGUAGCCAGGUGGCACUGCAGUAACUGGUUGUUUUGUUGUGUAUCCAGGGGAAGGUGACGGUGAUGCUGGUGUUGCGUCACUGGUGGGUGAGUCCGUUGCUUCAGUGAGAGGCGUUAAGGUGUAGCCAGGUGGCACUGCAGUUACUGGUUGUUUUGUUGUGUAUCCAGGGGAAGGUGACGGUGAUGCUGGUGUUGCGUCACUGGUGGGUGAGUCUGUUGCUGCAGUGAGCGGCGUUAAGGUGUAGCCAGGUGGCACCAUAGUUACUGGUUGUUUUGUUGUGUAUCCAGGGGAAGGUGACGGUGAUGCUGGUGUUGCGUCACUGGUGCGUGAAUCCGCUGCUUCAGUGAGAGGCGUUAAGGUGUAGCCAGGUGGCACUGCAGUUACUGGUUGUUUUGUUGUGUAUCCAGGGGAAGGUGACGGUGAUGUCGGCUCUGCAUCCCUUGUGGGUGAGUCUGUUUUUUCAGGGAGUGCCGUUAACGUGUAGCCAGGUGGCACCAUCGUUGCUGGCUGUUUUGUUGUGUAUCCAGGGGAAGGUGACGGUGAUGCUGGUGUUGCGUCACUGGUGGGUGAGUCUGUUGCUUCAGUGAGAGGCGUUAAGGUGUAGCCAGGUGGCACUGCAGUUACUGUUUGUUUUGUUGUGUAUCCAGGGGAAGGUGAUGGUGUGGUCAGUGUUGCGUCACUGGUGGGUGAGUCUGUUGCUUCAGUGAGAGGCGUUAAUGUGUAGCCAGGUGGCACCACAGUUACUGGUUGUUUUGUUGUGUAUCCAGGGGAAGGUGACGGUGUGGUCAGUGUUGCGUCACUGGUGGGUGAGUCUGUUGCUUCAGUGAGAGGCGUUAAGGUGUAGCCAGGUGGCACCACAGUUACUGGUUGUUUUGUUGUGUAUUCAGGGGAAGGUGACGGUGAUGCUGGUGUUGCGUCACUGGUGGGUGAGUCUGUUGCUUCAGUGAGAGGCGUUAAGGUGUAGCCAGGUGGCACUGCAGUAAGGGGUUGUUUUGUUGUGUAUUCAGGGGAAGGUGACGGUGAUGCUGGUGUUGCGUCACUGGUGGGUGAGUCCGUUGCUUCAGUGAGAGGCGUUAAGGUGUAGCCAGGUGGCAAUGCAGUAAGUGGUUGCUUUGUUGUGUAUCCAGGGGAAGGUG
Long non-coding RNA from Eriocheir sinensis (Chinese mitten crab), 2100 nucleotides. RefSeq lists it as uncharacterized. The record is from RefSeq and is a predicted model, not a curated record. The transcript has 5 exons. NCBI's taxonomy places the organism in Eukaryota, Metazoa, Arthropoda, Malacostraca, Decapoda, Varunidae.